GAUGAACGCUGGCGGCGUGCCUAAUACAUGCAAGUCGAGCGAACGGACGAGAAGCUUGCUUCUCUGAUGUUAGCGGCGGACGGGUGAGUAACACGUGGAUAACCUACCUAUAAGACUGGGAUAACUUCGGUAAACCGGAGCUAAUACCGGAUAAUAUUUUGAACCGCAUGGUUCAAAAGUGAAAGACGGUCUUGCUGUCACUUAUAGAUGGAUCCGCGCUGCAUUAGCUAGUUGGUAAGUUAACGGCUUACCAAGGCAACGAUGCAUAACCGACCUGAGCGCGGGAUCGGCCCGGCUGGAACUGAGACACGGCCCGUACUCCUACGGGAGGCAGCUGCAGUGAAUCUACCGCAAUGGUCGAAAGCCUGACGGAGCAACGACGCGUGAGUGAUGACGAUCUUCGGAUCGUAAAACUCUGCUAUUAUGGAAGGACAUAUGUGUAAGUAACUGUGCACAACUUGACGGUACCUAAGCAGAGAGCGACGACUAACUUAGUG
RNAcentral lists this ribosomal RNA (497 nucleotides) under uncultured bacterium. RNAcentral's name for it is "partial 16S ribosomal RNA". It matches the Rfam family "Bacterial small subunit ribosomal RNA", at positions 28 to 507 of the family's 1533-position model. The record is from RNAcentral.